Molecule: ribosomal RNA, 253 nt
Filed under: uncultured bacterium
Lineage: Bacteria
Description: partial 16S ribosomal RNA
Rfam family: Bacterial small subunit ribosomal RNA
Source: RNAcentral
UACGGGGGGGGCAAGCGUUGUUCGGAAUUACUGGGCGUAAAGGGCUCGUAGGCGGCCAACUAAGUCAGACGUGAAAUCCCUCAGCUUAACUGAGGAACUGCGUCUGAUACUGGAUGGCUUGGAUUUGGGAGAGGGAUGCGGAAUUCCAGGUGUAGCGGUGAAAUGCGUAGAUAUCUGGAGGAACACCGGUGGCGAAGGCGGCAUCCUGGACCAAUAUUGACGCUGAGGAGCGAAAGCUAGGGGAGCAAACGGG